AUUGAACGCUGGCGGCAUGCUUUACACAUGCAAGUCGAACGGUAACAGGCCUUCGGGUGCUGACGAGUGGCGCACGGGUGAGUAAUGCAUCGGAACGUACCCAGAGGUGGGGGAUAACGCAGCGAAAGCUGUGCUAAUACCGCAUGUGAUCUGAGGAUGAAAGCGGGGGACCGAGCAGCAAUGUUUGGCCUCGCGCCUUUGGAGCGGCCGAUGUCGGAUUAGCUAGUUGGUGGGGUAAAGGCCUACCAAGGCGACGAUCCGUAGCUGGUCUGAGAGGACGACCAGCCACACUGGGACUGAGACACGGCCAAGACUCCUACGGGAGGCAGCAGUGGGGAAUUUUGGACAAUGGGCGCAAGCCUGAUCCAGCAAUGCCGCGUGCGGGAAGAAGGCCUUCGGGUUGUAAACCGCUUUUGGCAGGAACGAAACGGUGUCCGCUAAUACCGGGCGCUAAUGACGGUACCUGCAGAAUAAGCACCGGCUAACUACGUG
RNAcentral lists this ribosomal RNA (492 nucleotides) under uncultured bacterium. RNAcentral's name for it is "partial 16S ribosomal RNA". It matches the Rfam family "Bacterial small subunit ribosomal RNA", at positions 29 to 507 of the family's 1533-position model. The record is from RNAcentral.